AUCGACUGUAUAAGGAUGGCUAGAAAUUUCUUCAGUUCUCCAUUCUCCUUCCUUAAGACUGACAACUCUCUAGGCAAAAGAUGGAAACAAUCAGCUCCAGCAGUUUCCUGUGAUAUGGCAGAAGUGGAGCCAAGAACCAGUGGACCAGAUACAGAAGAUCACAUAUUAGCUGCUUGGGACACAUUUUAUUUAAGAGAAGCCAGGUUGAAUAUUUGUAUGAUCUUUGUUAGUAGUACACCUUCCUUCUACUUUACAGAAACUCAGAAUCAUAGAAAUGAAAGGGGCCUUGAAAAUCAUUUAAUGUUUUGUCCAAUUCUACCAUUUUUCAAAAGAUAUGCCCAAUGUUCAGUGAAAUUAAAUGACUUGUCCAAAGUUCCAUCUUUAGUUAGUGGUAGCUCUGGGAUUAGAACCUAAGUCUCCUGAUUUCCUGUGUAAAGUUCUUGCUCCCACAUUAAAUAGCCUUUAUGUUAGACAUAGUAACCAUACACUCUGUAUUUUCUGCCAAUACCAGUUUCAUAAAAUUUGUUAAAUACAGAACUAAGUAAAUGUGACUUUGUAGGAUUUUUAAAUGAGGAAAUUGACAUAUCAAAAAUACAGGCCGG
Lemur catta (Ring-tailed lemur) is the source of this 602-nucleotide long non-coding RNA. RefSeq lists it as uncharacterized. The record is from RefSeq and is a predicted model, not a curated record. The transcript has 3 exons. Lineage: Eukaryota; Metazoa; Chordata; Mammalia; Primates; Lemuridae.